UGCGCAGGCGGACUAAUAAGUCAGUGGUGAAAUCCCGGGGCUCAACCCCGGAACUGCCAUUGAUACUGUUAGUCUUGAAUACGGUUGAAGUAGGCGGAAUGUAGCAUGUAGCGGUGAAAUGCAUAGAGAUGCUACAGAACACCGAUCGCGAAGGCAGCUUACUAAGCCGAUAUUGACGCUCAGGCACGAAAGCGUGGGGAGCGAACAGGAUUAGAUACCCUGGUAGUCC
Molecule: ribosomal RNA, 229 nt
Filed under: uncultured bacterium
Lineage: Bacteria
Description: partial 16S ribosomal RNA
Rfam family: Bacterial small subunit ribosomal RNA
Source: RNAcentral